This 510-nucleotide ribosomal RNA is filed under the name uncultured bacterium. RNAcentral's name for it is "bacterial SSU rRNA". It matches the Rfam family "Bacterial small subunit ribosomal RNA", at positions 53 to 518 of the family's 1533-position model. The record is from RNAcentral.
ACAUGCAAGUCGAACGAGAGGCCAUUGAUUUAAUGAAAUGGAGUGCUGCACAAGCUGGAUGUUAUCUGAUUUGGAUUUCCCUCUAGUGGCAAACGGGUGAGUAACACGUGGGUUACCUACCCUCAAGUUGGGGAUAUCAUCUGGAAACGGAUAGUAAUACCGAAUGUGAUCUACGGAUUAAAGGAGCCUUUAAAGCUUCGCUUGAGGAUGGGCCUGCGGUGCAUUAGCUAGUUGGUGAGAUAAUAGCCCACCAAGGCGACGAUGCAUAGCCGAACUGAGAGGUUGAUCGGCCACACUGGGACUGAGGCACGGCCCAGACUCCUACGGGAGACAGCAGUUAGGAAUAUUCGUCAAUGGGGGAAACCCUGAACGAGCAAUGCCGCGUGAACGAAUGAAGGCCCUUCGGGUUGUAAAGUUCUGUUGUUUGGAAAGAAUACUAAGUGUAGGAAAUGACACUUAGCUGACGGUACCAUUCAAGAAAGCCACGGCUAACUACGUGCCAGCAGCUGC